AAGCACAGGGACUGGCAUCCACAGUCAGAUGCUCUAGGGCUUCUUUGUUUACUUUUAUUUUUUGGAAACAGGGUCUUACUAUGUAGCUGGCUUUGAACUCACCAUCCUCCUGCUUCAGCCUCCUAGGAGCUAGAAUCACAGGUCCCACUGUUUCAAGCACAGCUCUCUUUGAGUAAUUCCAGGAGUAAGAAAAAUCUGGCUGGAAUCAAGGACCUGUCCAUGGCCUGGUGAACAAUGGCUGGGGAAAGUGAGUCCUGGCCCAGACAUGGCCAAGGGGAUUUCACUCUCAUGAUCAAGAAGGGAAGAAGAGACAUCCCAAGGACAAGUGCCUGGACAUAUUGGAGACUUAUUGACCCUGGAAGAUGCCCUUCCUUGGUCAGCAAUUCUUAGAGCAAAGGACACCCUACUCUCCUGGUUGUCACCUGGACGACCCUGCACCUGUCCUAACCACCCUGGGCCAGGUAUAGACUGCUGGGGACAACUGCUCAGGGAACUCAAAUAGGCAGAUCCCCAGCCUGCUGCCAGCCCCACUGUUUCUUCCAUGGAAAACACAGCACAGACUCCUGUCCACCGUGCCCUCCUUCCGCCCCCUGAUUGCCUUGUACUUCUUCCUGCCCUGUCUGAGAGGCCUCCUGCUUCUAAGACUCUGAGAGCAAACCUCUUCCUCACCAUGGUGUUUUCUUCCACUCCCCACUAAAACAAACCCCAGUUGCCUUUUAGUAUGGUUCCUGGUGUCCCAUGAGAAAAAUAAACCAAUGUUCAGAAACAUUCUCACUCAUGACAGUGAGGCCACACAUGGGGAUGCUUAUGGAGUCCCCAGGGCAGAGGGCUUGGCUUCUCCACCUUUCUUGAACCCAGGAGCACAAUACCCUGAGCUACAACCCUAGCUUCUCCUUUAAUUUUAUUUUUAUGUUUCUGCGGUACUGGAGAUUGAAUCUAGGGCCUUCACCCUUUAUAUUUUUUAUUUUGAGGCAAGAUCUCACUUAGUGCCCAGGCUAGCCUUAAUUUGUGAUCUUUCUGCUUUAACCUCCUGAGUAUCUGGGAUUAUAGGCCUGCAUUACUGCACCUGGCUUCUUUUUUUUUUUUUUUUUUUGGUCUUCAUUGCUGAGCAGUUUCUAAGACUUAAUAGAUAUGUUUAUCUUAACAUGGUAGGAAAAUGUUUGACAUAUUAGCUGAUCAUUUUUAUUCUUGAUAUUUCUUUCUACCCUAAGAGGCUAGUUCAGAAACAAAAAACAGAGUAAAUUCUUAGCCUCUAUUCUAAAAUGAGUUCUUGAACACCCAGAACUUAAUGUCUUGCAAACUAAGGGCUUCCGUGGCAAGACUUUGGCUUUAGGAGGAGAAAUAAAGUAUUGAGAAUCAAUAUCUUGGAAUCAAAGGAGUGAGUGUACAAAGUUCACCUGGGAAGGGCAGGUGUCAGGAGCACUGACCUGUCCAUCUCCUUCACAGAAGGCCCAAACCUUGAAUUUGAAGUCAUAGAUGAAUACAGUCCUCCUUCUGACUGCAGAUUCCACGUCUCCAGAUUCAACCAACUGUGGAUUGAAAAUAUUUUUUAAAAAAUUGCAUCUGUACUGAACAUGUACAGAUGUUUUUCUUGUUAUUCCCUAAAGAAUAUAGCACAACGACUAUUCAUGUGGCAUAAACAUUGUGUUAAAUUAUUAUAAGUAAUCUAGGAAUGCUUUAAAGUAUACAAGUGGAGCAGGGC
Molecule: long non-coding RNA, 1702 nt
Organism: Heterocephalus glaber (naked mole-rat)
Lineage: Eukaryota; Metazoa; Chordata; Mammalia; Rodentia; Bathyergidae
Source: RefSeq, a predicted model, not a curated record